CUUCCCCAUGUCGUACCCUUUUUGUCCCUCGACGGCUCCUGUGGUAAAUGACUCGCCACUGCGGCCUCUAGGGGGGGGCGACCCCGGCCGCCCGCCCCAGACCGCUGUCCCAGGAAGGUACCACACGACCUGCUGCUUCUGGGAAGACAGAUUGUCUCCCUCAGCUAAUAGCUGCUCGCCCCCUCCAAGUGCUAGCGCUCCAUGCUACUAGCGUAAUAGUCCCCUAUAUAGGCUGACACUCUGUCCGUGUCGCUAUACUUCCACUACAUUGGUGGGACAGUAAGAUGUAGCUGGAAGUAUGCUGCUGACAUCUCUGCUGCUUGUCUGUGCGACAGAGCUACGCUAAGGGCUGAGAUUGAUUAUAACGUCAGAUCGAUAUCUUGACAUCCCUUGGCCUCUCAUAUGCUUUUAUCCCUGUGAUUCUCUCGACCAUUCAUCUUCUUGAAUGCUUCUUUUCAACUGCACUUUCCUCUCAUUCUCGUCGUUGUGUCUCUUCUCUUUACUUAUUUUCUCCUUUCUUCUCCUCCUAUAUUCUCUUUACUCUCCUCUCCUCCUAUCUUCUCUUCUCUCAUGUAUUAUCUCCUAUCCUCUCUUCUCUUCUCCUCUCUCCUCCCUUCUCAUCUCUCCUGGGAACUGAGAGUUAUUUGGAGACACACGUCUCCACAAGUGGGAAAAUAAGUAAUUUGGUCUCAAAUGAAGAAAACUCUUUACUUUUCUCCCAGAAGCACUGUGGGCAGAAUCCAUUAUUUAUUUAACCAUUGUUCCCUAUUAUGCCCGUCAUUGGCUUGGAGGAAACCUGUAACACACACACACAGAGACACACACACACACACACACACACACACACACACACACACACACACACACACACACACACACACACACACAUACCCACGAAACACAUAUUCACACCACACCACACACAAACACACGUGCAAACACACACACACACACACACACACACACACACACACACACACACACACACACACACACACACACACACACACACACACACACACACAAACACACAUUCAAAUCACACCACAAACAAACACACAUACACAUUCACACCACACCACACACAUCAGCGAUGCCACAGCACAUUGCAAGCCCUACUUCAACAGGCAUUAUCUCCACCACUCCAGCUCUAAAUGUCUCAUUAAAUGGACCCAGAGAUACAGAGAAUACAAGGGAUGCGAGAUUGUAGGGCAGCGAUAACAAUAAAAGCAUACAGCCAUUAGAGAAUAUACAGAUACAUAUGCAAUAUGUUGCAGACGGCAGCUGAAAGGGCUAAUGCUAUUAUUUACAUUGUGGUGAGAGUGCACUCAGGCUAAAUGCUCGGCGGCAGAAUCAGUACAACGGAAGUCAUUUUAGGAAAUUAUGUUGGCAAAUUAGUGACGCCAAGAGAGAUGCUUAUGAUGGUUUAAUCACCCAGACCAGUAUAAUGGUCCUUUAGGAAAACACAUCAUACAACCCAACAAAAAAACACGUUUCUCAAUAAUUGUAUCCAGACAUGGACAUUUUUUAAAGAUUUUUGAAGCGGUGGAAAGAAAAGCCUUAGAGUGUGGUCUAUAAUGUGUAGACCCUAUAAUGUUGAUCUUUACUUGAGUUUGGAUCCUAUAUCUGCCGUACGAGUGGUUGUGAGGUUAUGGAAGUUAUUAGCAUUGGUCCGCUGGAUAACCCAUAGUCUGUUCAGCCACAGUCCAACUGAGAGGGAGAAACGGUGACACAUUUGCCGCUUUUCCACCGCACAUGUAGCUCGACUCGACACGACUCGACACGACACGACUCGACACGGUAGCAGCACGGGUGCUUUUCCACCGCAAAUAGUACCUCCUGGACGUGGGCGGGGUCGGCUGCGCGAAAGGGCCGUGACGUAUUUUUGUACGCGACGCAAACAAGACCUACGCAACCCACACAUGGACAGAACCCACAUAACAACAAUGGAGGACAUCGAUAACAUUACUAUUAUUAGCUGGCAUAUUGAAGAAGUUGAAGAAGUGGAAUAUGUUGGCUGUGGCGCUGCUAUGGCUGUUACCAGCAUGGUUGCCAUGUCGCUCUCGUGACUUCGUCACACUCUCUGGCCAAUAAGUGGCCGGCCGUCUGCCGACGUCACCUUUUAGCAUCGGCUCAGCCGCUUGGAACCUAGAGCGAGGCGGUACUAGAAAAAGCAGCCACUUCAGGUACCAGGUACCAUGUUUUCGCGGUGGAAACGCAAAAAAUGCGAGCUGAGUCGAGUCGAGUCGAGUCGUGUCGAGCUGGUACCAUGCAGUGGAAAAGCGGCAAUAGAUUACCUCUUAUCUACUUUGUCGCAGGCAUUCUCCCCAUACAUACAAGAAUGCAGUCUGGAUGUGCUCUCACACACACACACACACACACACACACACACACACACACACACACACACACACACACACACACACACACACACACACACACACACACACACACUUAGACUGGCACACACACACACACACACACAGUUUGGGACUGGCUUACAGGGUCUUAGCCACGGAUGGAGCCUGGGUGGGGCCGGCAGGGAGGAGAGAAACCUGCUCAUCCACAAAGUUUUUCGCUCUGCUGCACACGUCUUAGAAACGAUAGACUGAUCCAUUGUUCCAUCCUCCCCUUCUCCCUCCCUUGUUCUGGCUCCGGGACGCCUCCCUUUCAUCCUUAUCCUUGGAAAUCCUGUUGUCCUGCAUUGUUCUCUCAUUCUCCUCCAUUGUCUCUCUUUACCUCCAUCUUUCUACUUAUGUCUCUCUCUCUCUCUCUCUCUCUCUCUCUCUCUCUCUCUCUCUCUCUCUCUCUCUCUCUAUGUCUCUCUUUCUCAAUGUCUCUCUCUCUAUGUCCCUCUCUAUGUCUCUCUCUCUCUAUGUCCCUCUGUAUGUCUCUCUCUCUCUCUCUCUCUCUCUCUCUCUCUCUCUCUCUCUCCGUCUCUCUCUAUGUCUCUCUCUCUCUCUUUCUCUCUCUCUAUGGCUCUCUCUCGCUGUCUCUCUCUCUCUCUCUCUCUCUCUCUCUCUCUCUCUGCCUCUCUCUUUCUCUCUCUCUCUCUCUCUCUCGCUGUCUCUCUCUCUCUCUCUCUCUCUCUCUCGCUCUCGCUCUCGCUCUCUCUCUCGCUCUCUCUCUUUCUCUCUCUCUGUCUGGCAUGUGUGGUUUGCUACCCCUCUCCACUCUCUCCCCACACCGACCCUGCUCGUCCUUCCCUCUCUCCUCUUCCCUCCUCUCUCUCUCUCCAUCAUGCACGUCAUCGAUAUCCUCUGUCGUUCCCACUCUUCUCUUACUGUCUUGCUCCCUCCUCUCCUUCUUUCCCCAUCCCUCUCUCCUCCUAUUUUUCUUCCUCAGCAUGGACGUUCAGAAUUUUCAUGGGAAGGAAUCAAUCUGUCUAUGGAAGACACCACAUCCAUCUUGCCACGGCUGAAGAGGAACUCAAACGCCUAUGGGAUCGGAGCUCUGGCUAAGUCCUCUCUGACAGGUGUGUCAGGCGUGAGUCGCUCCAUGAAGGAGAGGGUGACGAAGCCCACGGCCAUGGCCCAGGGCCGCGUGGCCCACAUGAUCGAGUGGCAGAACUGGGGCAUGCAGACGGUGGGCGCCGGGGGCGUGCCCAUCCCCCGCAUCACCACCCAGGAGCGGGAGAAUGAGCGGCGGCUGGAGAACGACGCCUACAGCGACCUCAGCGAUGGCGAGAAGGAGGCGAGAUUUGCCGCAGGCAUCCUGCAGCAGUUUGCCAUCUCGCAGGCCACCCUGAUGGCGUGGACGUCCAUGGACGGAGAGAGCCUGCGCUCGGGCUCCAACCAGGGCAGUGUGGCCCACCUGAGCGAGGUCAACCAGGAGAGCAUCACCAGCCGAGACCAGAUACUGCACCACUCCUCGGCAGACGUGUGGCCCCACACCUACGUCUCCCAGGGCCUGUACUGCCUCUCCUCCUCCGACGCCUGGGAGCCAAUCAACAACGAGCCCUCCGGCGUGGCCUCUCCGGCCGCCGGCUCCUACGUCAUGGGGGGCGGGACCGAGGGCUUUGACGGACAGACGGCCUCCCAGUACCUGUCCCAGCAGCAGCAGCCUCAGCAGCAGCAGCCUCAGCAGCAGCAGCCUCAGCAGCAGCAGCCUCAGCAGCAGCAGCCUCAGCAGCAGCAGCUCAGCCUCCAGCAGCAGAGUCAGCUCCAUCAGCUGCAGCAGAUCCAACAGAUCCAGCACUACCAGCACCAGCAGCUCCUGCAGUAUCAGCAGCAGCAGUCCCUGGAGCAGCGGCUGCACAGCGCCAAUCACUCGCUACAGGCCACCCCCAACAGCACCAUCCACAGCCUGGCCCCGGCCAGCUACCCGCCGCUGGUGGACCUGUGGAACGGGGCGCAGACCGAGGCCUACCAGGUGGAGGGCGGGAGCUACCUGGGCGUGGCCGCCGUGGUGGAGCCCAGCAUGGGGGUCGUCAUGGGCGACGACGUGAUUGGCACGGAACACUCCCCGCUGCUGGAGCAACAGGAGGAGGAGGAGUUUAAGGAGGAGGAGGUGACCUUAUGCAUCGAGUCAGAGACAGCCACGCUAACUCCCCCCACAAGACCAGGAGACGUCUCCUCCGGCGGCAGUAGUCCGGGGCAACCGCCGGUCGAGCCAAUGACGGAGCGGAAGGCGUCGGACGUCAGCCCCGGCUACGCUCAGACUCUGGAGGAGAAGAGCGAGGGGCAGCAGGAGGGCUCCUCCCCCUCCAUGUCCGCUAACUGAGUACCGCGCUGCUCUGGGGGAGGGGGGGGGACUCUAACGGACUGACUCUAACGGACUGACCCGGGCGUCAGAAAGGGAAGGAGCGCCAUGACUCAAUACAUACUCCCAUCAUCCAUCGGCUCCUUUUCAGGGCUCAUCAACACGCGCUGAUCUUUUUGGGGGGGUGGUUGUUGUUGUUGUUGUUUUUCCUCAUUUCCUGGCAACACUCAGACUAACGCUGUCAACGUGGCGAGGCCGGUGAGGUGGCCUCCUAGGGAUCACCGAGGAUGCAACCCGGGACACAAGGAGUCUUCAUCAAGCCUUACAUCCUGUAGGUCACGUAGGAGACUAGGGGAGGGAGGCGGGAGAUAGAGAAUGAGGGGGAUCAGAGAGACAAGCCUACCAAGAGAGUGAUGGUUGAUGUGACAACCACCCCAAAACUAAACGGGGGAACAAGGAAACAUGCAUGCUGUCAACAAAGACACACAACCCGACCUGGUCAUCGUCUUGUAACGAUAACAAUAAAUACCUAUUGUAAGAAUACCUUCAAUUAAAACAACACUUUUUAAUGAAUACCAAAAAGAAAAUCACUAAAAUCGAUGUAAACGUGUAAGAUAUUUAUAAAUAUAUGUAUGUAUAUAUGUAUAUAUAUACAUACACAUAUAUACUGUAUAUAUAUAUAUAUAUAUAUAUAUAUAUAUAUAUAUAUAUAUAUAUAUACUGUAUAUAUAUACAUACAUAUACAAAAACAAUAUUUUCCAACAGGAGAGCCUCUCUGUUUACAGCUAUCAUUAAAUAUAUGAUGUAUUGCUUAAUCAAUUAACAACCGUAAAAGUCCCUUCCGUCACUACCGUCGCACCCUUGUUACCACUACAACGACCAAUACUACUACUUCCACCACUACCACUAAAGUACAGGUAACUACCCAAUAAUAGUAUUAUGGGACAAGAUUAGAAAAGUACAAACAAAGCAACAAUUCUGACAAUUCUGAAACCUAAAUUAAAAAAAAAACACAUUUACAUUUCUGUGAGUUACAGUUUGGUCCUCUAAAAUGCAGCCAUUAGCAGGCGUUGCUGCGGACACAGACCCGGGCCCACCCCAGGGACCCCCCUGACCUGGGGGCUGCACACACCCAAGGCCCAUGAAGAGGAUUGUACUGGAACAGAGUGGGCUUCCUCUGACUAUGUCUUUCAGUGCACAGGCUACUUCUUCAGAGUACUAUGGAGUACUUGUACAAUACGUGGCGGUACAGACUUUGAUCCAUGGUUUCCUGGACUGAGCCUGGGCUGGGCCUGGGUGGGGGAGUGGUUCUGUGUCUGUGAUUGGGGAACCUUCUUGAACAAAGCGGCUCUGUGGGGUUCAUGGAUGUGAAUGGAGGAGAGGGAGAGAAUCUCUCCUUUUGCACUGAUGCAAUCCGGAUGGACAGAGGUGGCCUUUGGAACUGCAGGAGAAACACCUGUUGGUAAACGUCUCUACUCCUUCACCUCCAGCACCCAACCCCAAGCUGCUUUGUUCCAAUACAGUCGUCGUAUUAACCUGGGGCUGUGGAGCACUAUGGAAUGUACUAUAAUAAGGCAUAAUACACAGUCGUAAUCUGUUUUAAUCCAAGAGUGUUGUGUCUUAAAUGUCUUUCAAUGUCUCCUUUGUGAAACGCAAACAUGUUUCAGUCAAAGAUUGAAAGAUUGUUCUACAAAUUUGUAUAACUUGUUUAAAAUGGAUAUACACGCAAACGCACAUUAACAGACGCACCCACACACACACACACACAUACACACACACACACACACAAACACACAAACACACACACACGCACACACACACACACACACACACACACACACACAUACACGCACACAGAUAGAAAGAGGAGUUUCUAAAUUGUAACCAGCAAUAGCCAGAUGAAACCCUGGGCAUCUGACAGGCUACCGGCAGCUCUGUCAUAUACAAAUGUAAAUAGUUACAAAAUAUAUAUAAAUCGCCUCUCUCACGGUUUCAACUGUUUAGUACAGCCUGAUUUCUUUAUUUUUCUAUCUUCCUACAUUGUCCCGUCUUACUUUGGGAUUGCACUCCAAAUAGAAAAACGAUGGCUGGAUUCUUAAUUUGCUGUCCAUGAACACACACACAAGAGCGGGCGAGAGGGUUGUGGUGCAUCGUAAAUAGAGCACUCACCAACUGCUCCAAGAGGAGGGCUGGCGUGGUCCCUAGUUACCAUAGUAACAAGCCCCCCCCCCCCACACACACACACACACCGGUGUACAGGGAUCACUCAGUGUCUGCCAUGCAAGUCAUUCAGGGAGCUGAACAGAACAGAGAGAGAGAGAGAGAGAGAGAGAGAGAGAGAGAGAGAGAGAGAGAGAGAGAGAGAGAGAGAGAGAGAGAGAGAGAGAGAGAGAGAGAGAGAGAGAGAGAGAGAGAGAGAGAGAGUAGGGUGGCUUCCUGCCCCCUUGGGACUUUAGGCAAACGUGUUCCUUUCCUUUGGAAGAACAAGUGUGUUUCCCCACGGGGGGGCGAAUGCUGCCAUCUGAUUGGUCGGCCGUGUGCAUGACUCACUUAUGACUCAGCUUCUUCACCGACAAAAUCACUCUGGACAUUUUCUGUUGCAGAGCCAUGUCUCUGCUCACUCUGAUGAUUGUGUGACCAACUUUUAAGAUUACAAAUAUGUAGGUUUAUUGACUUUAUUUCUUGAUCGCUUAUUUAUGCAAUGUUAUGGGACAUUUAUUUUUCUACUCAAAUGGUUGAAGUUCCCCCCAGUAGGCCUAUCAGAAAGACAUGUGUCCGUUUAAAGCAUGCCCAUCUUGGUCAGGUUUUGAGCACUUUUGUCUGAGAUACAACUUACUAUAUUAUUACAAAUAAGAGAAAGACCUUGAUGAUCCAUUGCAUUUCCAUUCCUAUAUAACACCACAUGCUAUCAUUAUCAUAGCCACGACAAACCAUGAUUAUGUAGGGUCAAUAAUGGUUUUAAGAAAAUAAGAAUAAGCGAAUGAGUGCUGUUGAACAUCAGAAUAGUGGCCUGACCUCCGGCUGAGAAGAGUUAGUCCUCAAUGUCCCUGGCUGACCUGUAGGCAGACCCUGUGUUCGACUCAUGGUGGUGAUACAGUGGUGAUAAAGUGGUGGUGAUACAGUGGUGUUGCAGUAGAUAUACUGUGGUCGUAAUACAGUGGUGAUACAGUGAUUACACAGUGGUGGUGAUACAGUGGUGGUGAUACAGUGGUUUUUUAUGCAGUGUUGGUAAUACAGUGGUGGUGAUACAAUGUUUUUUUAUGCAUGAUGGUGAUACAGUAGUGAUACGGUGAUGGUGAUACACUGGUGAUACAUUGGUUAUACAGUGGUGGUGAUACAGUGGUUAUACAUUGGUUAUACAGUGGUGGCAAUACAGUGUUUUUUUAUGCAGUGUUGGUGAUACAGUGGUGGUAAUACAGUGUCGGUGGCACAGCAGUGAUUCAGUGGUUACACAGUGGUGAUGAUACAGUGGUGAUACAGUGAUGGUGAUACAGCGGUGAUACAGUGUGGUGAUACGGUGGUUAAACAGUGGUGGUUAUACAGUGGUGGUUACACCAUGGUGGUGAUACAUUGGUGAUAAAUUGGGUUACACAGUGACGGUGAUACAGUGGUGAUACAGUGGUUGUACAGUGGUUACACAGUGGUGGUUACACAGUGGUGGUGAUACGGUGGUGAUACGGUGGUUAUACAGUGGUGGUUAUGCAGUGGUGGUGAUACAGUGGUGAUACGGUGGUUAUACAGUGGUGGUGAUACAGUGGUGGUGAUACAUUGGUGAUACAUUGCAUCACUUUGGAUAAAAGCGAUAAAUGACCAAAUAGUGAACAGAAUAUAUUCAACUGUCAUUACAGUUCAAUGUUUAUUAAACUAUACUCAAAUGUUUUUACAGUUGAGUACUUACUAUGAUAGGGAAAUUAUAGUCAUUACUAUCAUUUAUUUGUUUCAUUAUUUUAUUUGAAUGGCAAAUUGUUAAACCAGCAACAUGAAGCUCAAGUUAAGAGGACUCAAAGCCCGGUGAAAAUGGGAUGUCUUUACACACAAUGACACAUAUUUAUUUAUUUAUUGAAGAAUGAUUUGGGGGAGGAAUGAUGAACGAGGUGUGUAAAGUCACUUGGUUUCUUGCAGGCUGCGGUGGGGCCCUAUUGGCAGCAGUAUCCUCAUCUCUUUCAGAGUCAUUCCAGGGUCUGGCUCUUCAGACGGAGGUGAUGGAGCAGGCUGCUGUUAACGGCAGUUCUAUGCUUGCAUGAUUGAUAACGACGCAGCUGUUUUUAAAGAUGGUCACUCCUUCAGUUUACCAAAGAAAAGAACCACGCUUAUCACAGCAAGAAAACAAGAUCAAAAAAAUAUGCAUGAAACUAUGAACGGUACUGCUUCAAGUGUGGCUCACCUUUCAGUUUUUCUUUUUUUAGAUAUGAUGAUAUCAACGAGUGAUUGAAUAACAAGGAGCCAAAAGCAUUUCUGUGGAUGUUGACAGACUAUCUCUGUGCUGAUGGAUUGAUUUCCCGCUGAGUUCACAUUUUGUAUGAUUCUACUGCCCCCGUCCGGGACAUCCCCUCCAGGACACCCCGUCCGGGACAUCCCGUCCAGGACGUCCUGCCCUGGAAUACCUGUACACGCGCAACAAUCGUACUGCUUCCGCUCCCCUACUACUUCUUUACUCCCUGUCUUUCUUUCUUUCUGUUCUAUUCUUUCUUAUUGUUCUCUGUCCUCUUAUCUCUGUGUGAGGGUUCUUUAAUGCCUACUCGUGUCCGUGAGUCCGUUUGCAGUUACCGUCUGCUGUCUCGUUGGAAGAAUCACUGCCUGAAAAUAACCUUUUAUUUUUUUUACUGGAACGCAUUGACCAAAACGUUUUGAGGUUUGAGGCCAAACCCAGAUUAAGCAUUAACAUAUGAUGAUUUGAAACUGUGUGGCACUGAACCUAAAGUAAAUAAUGUAUAAAAAAAUAUGAUAAUUGAUGGAUUAUGUAAUUCACUGUAUAAAAAUGGAUGGAUUUAAGUCUUUUGGACUGAAGUGAUGACAUCAGUGUGAAACAUCCAUACCUAUGCAUGCUUGUUGGAAGGUUAUCACACGAUGGCUCAUGGUUUACACCCUGUGUCAACCAAUCUCUCUCUCCUCCUCUCCCUUUCUCUCCCUCCUUCUCCUCCCCUCUCUACUUCCUGCACGAGAGAUCCUCCUCCCUCUCCUCGGGGCCGGUACCUUUCUUCCUCUCCUCUUUCCCUCCGCUGGGGGAAAGAGACAAUAAAUGACCAACAAAUCAAA
Molecule: RNA transcript, 9957 nt
Organism: Gadus macrocephalus (Pacific cod)
Lineage: Eukaryota; Metazoa; Chordata; Actinopteri; Gadiformes; Gadidae
Gene: fam131bb
Gene name: family with sequence similarity 131 member Bb
Exons: 8
Source: RefSeq, a predicted model, not a curated record